UCCUGGGUAGCUCAGUUGGUAGAGCUUGAGACUUUUAAUCUAAGUGUAUUGGGUUUGAGCCCCACGUUGGGGA
RNAcentral lists this transfer RNA (73 nucleotides) under Salmo salar (Atlantic salmon). It matches the Rfam family "tRNA". Rfam says of the family: Transfer RNA (tRNA) molecules are approximately 80 nucleotides in length. Their secondary structure includes four short double-helical elements and three loops (D, anti-codon, and T loops). The record is from Rfam by way of RNAcentral. Lineage: Eukaryota; Metazoa; Chordata; Actinopteri; Salmoniformes; Salmonidae.